GGGUGCGAUCAUACCAGCACCAUUGCACCAGAUCCCAGGAGAACUCCGCAGUUAAGCGUGCUUAUGCGAGAGUAGUACUAGGAUGCGUGACCUCCUGGGAAGUCCUCGUGUUGCACCAC
Non-coding RNA from Gossypium hirsutum (cotton), 119 nucleotides. NCBI's taxonomy places the organism in Eukaryota, Viridiplantae, Streptophyta, Magnoliopsida, Malvales, Malvaceae. The record is from Rfam.